CCUCUGGGUUACUAGACGCUGGAACGGCGCCGUUUUGCUUAGGGGACAAAAUGUUUGGUUUGGUUUGGUUUCACUAGGGCUGGGCAUUUCAUCGGAAACUCCAGCGUAGCUCUCUCCAUCUCCGCAACAGCUCCUUCCAAUCCGUCUUCUCUCCAUUCAGAUUCUGAACAACCGUACGGAAAACCAAAAAUCCCCAAAUUCCAAAACCAAGAAAGUGCUGCCUCAUCCUCAUCCUCCUACUCCAUCUCGUUGAUUUUCUCCAGUUAUAGUUGCAGUCAAGGUUCGUUCUUCAUUCCUUGCUGAAGGUGAUCCAAGUUUUUAGAUUGUCAAAAUAGUCAGCCAAAAGGAAAGAGCAACAAAAGUAAUGGCGACCAAGAUAUGCGUAGUGAUUCGAUCUUUUCAUCACCCAAACCUUUUGUGGGGGCUUCCACCUUCCACACGGAGGAUAGCAUUGCCUGAAUCACGAGUCUUAUAUACUGUGUUGCGAUCACCUCAUAUUGAUAAAAAGUCCAGAGAGCAGUUUGAAAUGGAAAUCAAGAAACAGUAUCUGGUCAUAAAGACACAACCGCAUGAAUUGCAGAAGAAGUUUUUUUGGCUAAAGCGCCAACGUAUAUUUGGAGCUCAAUAUGAACUCCUUUUUUCUUGUAAGACUCGCUUGGAUAAGGAACAACUGCAGAAAUUGCUUUGAAGCAAGAUCCUUGCAUUGACCCUUCCUUGAACUCUACCAGCA
Molecule: non-coding RNA, 730 nt
Organism: Prunus mume (Japanese apricot)
Lineage: Eukaryota; Viridiplantae; Streptophyta; Magnoliopsida; Rosales; Rosaceae
Source: RefSeq, a predicted model, not a curated record